CAGUCGCCGCGGGAAUACGAAGGGGGCUAGCGUUGUUCGGAUUUACUGGGCGUAAAGCGCACGUAGGCGGACUUUUAAGUCAGGGGUGAAAUCCCGGGGCUCAACCCCGGAACUGCCUUUGAUACUGGAAGUCUUGAGUAUGGUAGAGGUGAGUGGAAUUCCGAGUGUAGAGGUGAAAUUCGUAGAUAUUCGGAGGAACACCAGUGGCGAAGGCGGCUCACUGGACCAUUACUGACGCUGAGGUGCGAAAGCGUGGGGAGCAAACAGGAUUAGAUACCCCGGUAGUCCCUGUCUCUUAUAC
RNAcentral lists this ribosomal RNA (301 nucleotides) under uncultured bacterium. RNAcentral's name for it is "partial 16S ribosomal RNA". It matches the Rfam family "Bacterial small subunit ribosomal RNA", at positions 509 to 807 of the family's 1533-position model. The record is from RNAcentral.